Molecule: transfer RNA, 71 nt
Filed under: Ovis aries (sheep)
Lineage: Eukaryota; Metazoa; Chordata; Mammalia; Artiodactyla; Bovidae
Rfam family: tRNA
About the family: Transfer RNA (tRNA) molecules are approximately 80 nucleotides in length. Their secondary structure includes four short double-helical elements and three loops (D, anti-codon, and T loops). Further hydrogen bonds mediate the characteristic L-shaped molecular structure. tRNAs have two regions of fundamental functional importance: the anti-codon, which is responsible for specific mRNA codon recognition, and the 3' end, to which the tRNAs corresponding amino acid is attached (by aminoacyl-tRNA synthetases). tRNAs cope with the degeneracy of the genetic code in two manners: having more than one tRNA (with a specific anti-codon) for a particular amino acid; and 'wobble' base-pairing, i.e. permitting non-standard base-pairing at the 3rd anti-codon position.
Source: Rfam by way of RNAcentral
GCAUAGGUGGUUCAGCGGUAGAAUUCUCACCUGCUGCUCAGGAGGCCUGGGUUCGUUUCCUGGCCAAUGCA